RNAcentral lists this ribosomal RNA (110 nucleotides) under Erinaceus europaeus (western European hedgehog). Lineage: Eukaryota; Metazoa; Chordata; Mammalia; Eulipotyphla; Erinaceidae. The record is from RNAcentral.
AUUUACAGUCAUACCACCCUGAACACACCCGAUCUUAUCAGGUCUCAGAAGUCAAGCAGGGUCUGGCCUGGCUACUGCUUGGAUGGAAGAACCCCAGGCUCAUGAAAAAG